This 2661-nucleotide long non-coding RNA is filed under the name Mus musculus (house mouse). RNAcentral describes it as "long non-coding RNA chr12:71861065-71863726". The record is from RNAcentral. Lineage: Eukaryota; Metazoa; Chordata; Mammalia; Rodentia; Muridae.
AAGCUCCUUAAAUACCCUCCACCCGAGCCCCAGUGGUCCCAAGAAAGCAUCUCUUCUAAACACAGUUCCCCAUUGGCUGGCACUGUCUGCACCAGCAAUCCUUGCUCUCUCAGGCAAUCGUCCCUGGCAUUUUCCCAUAAGUGGCCACUGCCAUUCUUCCUACAAUCUCUGCUCCAUAAACAAGCUUAAGAAAGUCAUUGAUUGGUCAUUGUGCAGACCUAUGAACUUUAUUCUCUUUACUGACCCAUCAUAUUGGUAUGUCAUGAAACUCAGUUUGCACAGCACUGGGGCAGCCACCAGUAACCAACUGCAAGGCGUCAGACUGGUACAGGUGUUAUAGUUACUGAUAAUAACAACUUAGUUAAGUGAUAGUGCCAAUUGAAUGGCUAGCUUGGUGCUUUCUGUUGCUUCCAAGUAGUUUGUGCCUGGGCCUUAGGACAGUUUUUAAUGAAGUGAUUUUGAUGGAGUGGCCCCUGGGACCCGCAGUGUGGAGAUGGGCAUUGCACCCUACCUCCUUCUACACUGUUUGCUUCUCUGUAUGAAGAGCCGGCAGUCUGAAAGCAUGGAUGUUGCCGAGGAGUUAGUGUUUCAGGGAGGAAAUGUACUUGGCCCAUCUUAAAUCUAUACUCAACAUUAGGACAGUUUGAGUAGGAUUAGGGGAGCAGUGAUCAUGGCCAGAAAAGGCUGGAUAAUUUGCUGUGAAGUCAGAAUGCUGAAGAGACUAACUCAGUGUGCUUCAGCAGGACUUUUAGUUCUGAAACCAGACAUGCAGUUUGACCUGCUUACCGUCAGUAUGAGAUUUCUCCCUCCCCUUUUGCUAAUGGCAGGGCAGCUGAAGUUGAUAAAGCUGGGUUAUAUGCUGAAAGUACAUUGUAUGAGCCUUUCCUUAGAACUUGGGAAUGCGCCGGGCAGUGCUGGCACACACCUUUAAUCCCAGCACUUGGGAGGCAGAGGCAGGUGGAUUUCUGAGUUUGAGGCCAGCCUGGUCUACAGAGUGAGUUUCAGGACAGCCAGGACUACAUAGAGAAACCCUGUCUUGGGGGGAGGGGUGGGAGACUAAACAAAACAAAACUUGGGAAUGGGUGUGGCACCGACUAGCAUCCCUAUAUUAUCUUAAAGGAUACUGGGAGGCUACAUAGGAUUGGUCCUGCUCAACUCUGGUUACGUAGGUACAUGGUAAAUGCCCCCAUCCCCUCCCCAGGGGUUACACAGAUAUGGUUCAGUUUUGCCGGUGGAUCCUUGUUUUGGUCAGAUUCAUUUUGUAACCCCUGUCCCCAUAUGUGUAUUUGUAUGUGGUGUACAUGUGUUUGUGUGGGUAUGUGUAUAUUCAUGGAGACCAUGUGUCAACAUGGGUGCUGUGGGUCUGUGUGAACAACAUGAGAUAGAUUGAGCCACCUUCCUAGCCUUGGAGUUCCUACUUUAGUGAUGUAGAAUAAGUCUAUAGGAUUGCUAGUAAGACAACCACAAUUUUGCAUUACAGCGUUGACCUCUCCAGAAUCAGCCAAUAUAUCUUUAAAGUAAUUUUCUUGUGUUUCUGCUUCAGCGUCUGCUUUUGUUACUUACAAAUUUUGUCACUGUUUCAUAGGAUGACCCUCUGUACAGAAAUGGGUUUUCAUUUGAUAAAGGAUUCUGUAUUAAAAUGAUUUUAAUACAAAAGGUGUGACACGCUUUGUUGUCCUUUCGCCGUCAGAUGACUUGCUUCUGAAAGGAAGCUUUCAGGGUGAAGGGGAGAAGCCCCGUCCUGGUCUCCUUCCAGGCCGUCCGUGCAGGCUGCCUUCCAGUCACUGUGCACACUUCGACCUAGACACCUGGCUGUGGGAACGCAAGCUCUGUCUGUGAUGCCCUGCAGGCUCGUUUGGGAUGGCCAGGGACUAGGAGUGAGAAUUGCAAGUUCAGUUUGUUCUGACACCUAUCAUUCUUGUAGUGUUUGUCUCUUGUGGUAAAUACUAUGCAGAGAGGUGCAAGGCUUCCUAUGUAGGCCUGGAGUCCCUUCAUGCCUCACCGGGACGGUCCCCAGCUCCCACUCAUUCAGAAUGAGUGUCCCCAGCACCCAGAAGCUGCUCGCACUGAAAACUCUUCCACUAAACUUCAUCUUGAGGGGAGGGGUGAGUGAAGGGGCUUGUAUUUAUGUCAGUGCUGGACAGAUAGAGGGCAUAUGCAUAGUCAGUAUAUGUUGGGUUUCAUCCUGUGCACAGGUGGCCCUCCCUGCUCCAGAGGCCAGCUGUCUGAGUGGAGCUACCUCAGUCGCUUACUGAGGCAGCCGAGGCAGGACUGUUGUUCCUUCUUAGCCCAGGCCCAAAUACCUUAGAGUUGUAGAUCCUUUGGGACAUGUUUUGUUUGCUUGCUUUGAUUUCUGGGGUAUCAUUGUAGUUCUUUGAUUUGAAAUAGUACAGAAAAGGAGUAAGUUUUUGUAUGUGCCAUUGGGGAGAAGGUUUACCAUACAGCUGGAGGUGGCUUAGAACAUAGAAUGAAGUAGUUAAUAGAUUACCUUUCCUAAAGAAACGAUAGCAUGUGUGUUCCUUCCCACAAGUAGUCUUUUCUUACAGUGUCACAUUUAAUGGACUAGGAACAGAAGGAACCUUAGCAGUGAUACUCAAGUCCUGCACACGUGUGGCAUGGUAGGGAAAGUAAGUGCUCUGUCAAUUCUACUCAUCUUUCUUC